CCUACGGGGUGCAGCAGUGGGGAAUAUUGCACAAUGGGCGCAAGCCUGAUGCAGCCAUGCCGCGUGUGUGAAGAAGGCCUUCGGGUUGUAAAGCACUUUCAGCGGGGAGGAAAGCGGUGAGGUUAAUAACCUCAUCGAUUGACGUUACCCGCAGAAGAAGCACCGGCUAACUCCGUGCCAGCAGCCGCGGUAAUACGGAGGGUGCAAGCGUUAAUCGGAAUUACUGGGCGUAAAGCGCACGCAGGCGGUCUGUCAAGUCGGAUGUGAAAUCCCCGGGCUCAACCUGGGAACUGCAUUCGAAACUGGCAGGCUAGAGUCUUGUAGAGGGGGGUAGAAGUCCAGGUGUAGCGGUGAAAUGCGUAGAGAUCUGGAGGAAUACCGGUGGCGAAGGCGGCCCCCUGGACAAAGACUGACGCUCAGGUGCGAAAGCGUGGGGAGCAAACAGGAUUAGAUACCCCGGUAGUC
RNAcentral lists this ribosomal RNA (465 nucleotides) under uncultured Klebsiella sp. RNAcentral describes it as "bacterial SSU rRNA". It matches the Rfam family "Bacterial small subunit ribosomal RNA", at positions 338 to 795 of the family's 1533-position model. The record is from RNAcentral. Lineage: Bacteria; Pseudomonadati; Pseudomonadota; Gammaproteobacteria; Enterobacterales; Enterobacteriaceae.